GUCAGAUUGGCCGAGCGGUCUAAGGCGCCAGAUUUAAGCUCUGGGGCCCUAAGGGGAGCGUGGGUUCGAACCCCACAUCUGACA
RNAcentral lists this transfer RNA (84 nucleotides) under Schistocerca americana (American grasshopper). Its description in RNAcentral is "tRNA-Leu". It matches the Rfam family "tRNA". From Rfam's summary of the family: Transfer RNA (tRNA) molecules are approximately 80 nucleotides in length. Their secondary structure includes four short double-helical elements and three loops (D, anti-codon, and T loops). Further hydrogen bonds mediate the characteristic L-shaped molecular structure. tRNAs have two regions of fundamental functional importance: the anti-codon, which is responsible for specific mRNA codon recognition, and the 3' end, to which the tRNAs corresponding amino acid is attached (by aminoacyl-tRNA synthetases). tRNAs cope with the degeneracy of the genetic code in two manners: having more than one tRNA (with a specific anti-codon) for a particular amino acid; and 'wobble' base-pairing, i.e. permitting non-standard base-pairing at the 3rd anti-codon position. The record is from RNAcentral. Lineage: Eukaryota; Metazoa; Arthropoda; Insecta; Orthoptera; Acrididae.